This 443-nucleotide ribosomal RNA is filed under the name uncultured bacterium. RNAcentral's name for it is "partial 16S ribosomal RNA". It matches the Rfam family "Bacterial small subunit ribosomal RNA", at positions 338 to 795 of the family's 1533-position model. The record is from RNAcentral.
CCUACGGGGGGCAGCAGUGGGGGAUAUUGGACAAUGGGGGGAACCCUGAUCCAGCGACGCCGCGUGAGUGAAGAAGUAUUUCGGUAUGUAAAGCUCUGUCAGCAGGGAAGAAAGCAAUGACGGUACCUGACCAAGAAGCCCCGGCUAACUACGUGCCAGCAGCCGCGGUAAUACGUAGGGGGCAAGCGUUAGCCGGAAUUACUGGGUGCAAAGGGGGCGUAGACGGUUAAGUAAGUCUGGGGUGAAAGGCCGGGGCCAAACCCCGGGACUGCUCGGGAAACUAUUGAACUUGAGUGCAGGAGAGGUAAGCGGAAUUCCUAGUGUAGCGGUGAAAUGCGUAGAUAUUAGGAGGAACACCAGUGGCGAAGGCGGCUUACUGGACUGUAACUGACGUUGAGGCUCGAAAGCGUGGGGAGCAAACAGGAUUAGAUACCCCAGUAGUC